GCAGAAGGCAGAUGAGGGAGGAGAGGAAAGUCGGAUGCUGCAAUUAACGGCCUGGACAGAGGAUGGGGACAUGAAUAAUGGUAGAGUCCAGCAUUAGCACAACACUCCAUUCAUCACUGCUGAAGGGCAAAUGCAUAACCCUCAAAAUGAUCCUGGAAAGAGGAAAAGGGAGAGGAAUUGCAAGUUCCAUGGAACAGUGAUUUACCAUGCAGCAGAGGAUGUGAGCAUCUCCGAAAUAGAAGGGUCCACAUAUUUUGAACUUUAACAUAUAUAAUGAUACUUAUAAUGUGACUGUUACGGGCAGCUGAUUUUUCAUACAAUUGACAUGAGACCCAUCUGAUGAAGUGGCACUCCCAAAGAAAAGAUAAAGUCAAAUCUGGCUGGCCAGUUACAACUUCAGAGCUCUUUCAUAACUUUCUGAGGUUGUAGAUAAAUUGGACCUUCGCAGAAGACCGUGGCUGUGGACAAGUAAACAAUUCCUAUCAUACAUUUCUCACUGGAGGGAAAGUUAAAAGUUAGAUUCAAUAAAAGUGACCGCCAUGACUUAACUAAACCAUCCAGCAUCUCCUUGCCGACAGCCUGCCUUAUAUUUACAUGAAAGGAUUUCCUGCCAGUUUAUCAUCUUAGUCUUAAUACCUAGGCCUUUAUCCCCUCAUCUCUAUCCUACCAAUUGCCUGUCUUUUCAUUUUGCACAGAUGGAAUGGGCAAUUGAAGAAGUAAGGCAUCAUUACCUUCUUCUUUUUAAAGAUGUAGGGAGUGAGCACCAGGUUCUGUUCUCAGCAAACCUCUUUAAUCCUAGUGGGGUUGGUUAUAGCAACUUCAAGCCUACCUGACUCCAGUUUUCUCUUCCAAAUCAAUCUUUAAUCCUCAAAAAGGUUGAUUUGAUUGCACAGUCCUUGCUUACUGUAUUUCAAUGGUUCCCUAGGGUUUUCAUAUUAUAGCUGGAGUUCCUUAGCUUGGGAAAAAAAAUUCAUUUUAAGCCCCUUGACUCUCCUUUAUUUUUGUAUUUAACUUUUUAAAAUAAAAAAAUCUGAAAUAUCCUAACAUGUAGAAAUUUGCAGAAGAUCAUUCAUCUUUCUAAAAGCUAGCUUCCUCUAGUCAUCAUUUCCCACUCUAUGCACCAGCCAUGACUUGAGCCCCUAAAAUUUCUCUUGCUAUUUAACACUUCCAUGAUUGUGUCAAUCCUG
RNAcentral lists this long non-coding RNA (1187 nucleotides) under Homo sapiens (human). RNAcentral's name for it is "HSALNT0148056". The record is from RNAcentral. Lineage: Eukaryota; Metazoa; Chordata; Mammalia; Primates; Hominidae.